CCUACGGGUGGCAGCAGUGGGGAAUAUUGCACAAUGGGGGAAACCCUGAUGCAGCGACGCCGCGUGAGUGAAGAAGGAAUUCGUUAUGUAAAGCUCUAUCAGCAGGGAAGAAAAUGACGGUACCUGAGCAAGAAGCCGCGGCUAACUACGUGCCAGCAGCCGCGGUAAUACGUAGGGAGAAAGCGUUAGCCGGAGUUACUGGGGUUAAAGGGAGCGUAGGCGGCAGUGCAAGUCUGGAGUGAAAGGCGGCGGCUCAACCCUGGGACUGCUCUUGAUACUGGUCGGCUGGAGUGCGGGAGAGGGAAGUGGAAUUCCAGGUGUAGAGGUGAAAUGCGUAGAUAUGAAGAGGAACACCAGUGGCGAAGGCGGCUUACUGGACUGUAACUGACGUUGAGGCGCGAAAGCGUGGGGAGCAAACAGGAUUAGAUACCCGUGUAGUC
This 440-nucleotide ribosomal RNA is filed under the name uncultured bacterium. RNAcentral describes it as "partial 16S ribosomal RNA". It matches the Rfam family "Bacterial small subunit ribosomal RNA", at positions 338 to 795 of the family's 1533-position model. The record is from RNAcentral.